This 432-nucleotide ribosomal RNA is filed under the name uncultured bacterium. RNAcentral describes it as "partial 16S ribosomal RNA". It matches the Rfam family "Bacterial small subunit ribosomal RNA", at positions 29 to 506 of the family's 1533-position model. The record is from RNAcentral.
AGCGAACGCUGGCGGCAUGCCUAACACAUGCAAGUCGAACGAGACCUUCGGGUCUAGUGGCGCACGGGUGCGUAACGCGUGGGAACCUGCCCUUAGGUUCGGAAUAACUCCCCGAAAGGGGUGCUAAUACCGGAUAAUGUCUUCGGACCAAAGAUUUAUCGCGUUUGGAUGGGCCCGCGUUGGAUUAGCUAGUUGGUAGGGUAAAAGCCUACCAAGGCGACGAUCCAUAGCUGGUCUGAGAGGAUGAUCAGCCACACUGGGACUGAGACACGGCCCAGACUCCUACGGGAGGCAGCAGUGGGGAAUAUUGGACAAUGGGCGAAAGCCUGAUCCAGCAAUGCCGCGUGAGUGAUGAAGGCCUUAGGGUUGUAAAGCUCUUUUACCCGGGAUGAUAAGGACAGUACCGGGAGAAUAAGCUCCGGCUAACUCCGG